Molecule: ribosomal RNA, 504 nt
Filed under: uncultured Bacteroides sp.
Lineage: Bacteria; Pseudomonadati; Bacteroidota; Bacteroidia; Bacteroidales; Bacteroidaceae
Description: bacterial SSU rRNA
Rfam family: Bacterial small subunit ribosomal RNA
Source: RNAcentral
UGCCAGUCCAGGGGCAGCGGGAUUGAAGCUUGCUUCCAUUGCCGGCGACCGGCGCACGGGUGAGUAACACGUAUCCAACCUUCCGUUUACUCGGGGAUAGCCUUUCCAAAGAAAGAUUAAUACCCGAUAGUAUGGUGAGAUUGCGUGGUAACACCAUUAAAGAUUCAUCGGUAAACGAUGGGGAUGCGUUCCAUUAGGUAGUAGGCGGGGUAACGGCCCACCUAGCCUACGAUGGAUAGGGGUUCUGAGAGGAAGGUCCCCCACAUUGGAACUGAGACACGGUCCAAACUCCUACGGGAGGCAGCAGUGAGGAAUAUUGGUCAAUGGGCGAGAGCCUGAACCAGCCAAGUAGCGUGAAGGAUGAAGGUCCUACGGAUUGUAAACUUCUUUUAUAAGGGAAUAAAACGCUCCACGUGUGGAGCCUUGUAUGUACCUUAUGAAUAAGCAUCGGCUAACUCCGUGCCAGCAGCCGCGGUAAUACGGAGGAUGCGAGCGUUAUCCGGA